ACCGUUUACACUUUAUACAUAAAAUUUCUUUUCGGAGUUUUUCAAUUAUUUAACCAAAAUAGGAAGUGCUAAAACAUUUUUACGAGACACACUGACUGACUCAAUAGUAUCAGUUUCGACACUUCAAUCCAAACAUAUAACGACUUGUUUACAAAAUUAGGUUCAACACCAAAAGGUUUUACUUGGCUAACACAAUGUUUGGCUCUUGCUACACAGAGUCGGGAUAAAGCAUCCAAAUCAAGGUAAAACAAAAGCAAAAUCUCGAGUCCACGACGAAAAACAGAAGUCGGAAAUAUAGCUGGAGUGAGAGAAAGAUAAGACUAUGAAAGAGAACAAUGGAAAGAAGAGAUGUCAUCUUCCAUCGAUUUCGGUCCUUUAUCAAUAGCAUUGGGAAGAAAGGGUAUGGAAUUCAACCUUUAGGCUCUUCUAUCUGCAUAAUCGUUGGAGUCAUUGUCAUCUCUGUAAUUUUCACCUGCAUCAACUGGGCUAUUAACAUCAGAAGCUUCUGCUUGGUUGCUGGUAGUGUCGUUGCCGAAGCUGAAGCUGUUGCUAGCAGCAGCAUCAGUGCUUCCACUGGCAUAGUUAUCACCACUUGUGCCAAAGCCAAAAUUGCUUUCUCCGCUUCCAUAACUGCUGGCGAUGUUAGCAUCAACACCACCUGCGCUGCCAUAAUUGCCACUGCUACCAUAACCAGAGGCACCAUAAUUGCCACCACCAGACCCAUAAUUGCCACCACCACCACCAUAACCACCAGACCCAUAAUUGCCGCCGCCACCAUAACCACCACCGCCUCCAAAGUUACCGCCACCGUAACCGCCACCGUAUCCUCUUGUCCUGUCAUUCGCUACAUUUACUCUAAUCCUACGACCAUCAAGCUCCUGUCCGUCCAAAGCCUGGAUGGCAGCACUGGCAUCCUCAGAAGUAUUGAAAGUAACGAAGCCAAAUCCCCUAGAUCUCCCAGACUCACGAUCGUAAAUGAUUCUUGCUUCAACGACUUCUCCAUACUUGCUGAAAGCUUCUUGGAGAGAGUUGUCAUUCGUGUUCCAUGAGAUUCCUCCAACAAAAAGUUUUGAAGACAUGCAUCUAAUAAGUUGAAAAAUUGAAGGCUUGGAUGCAGAUAUUUCGUGAUUGAUGUGCUGCUUGCUAACAGCCUGCCGAAGAAUGCUCCCAGCUUUGUUAAAGAAAGCCAUUCGAGCUUAAGCUCAGUUUCGCCAGAAAAAGAGACGGAGAUGGAAAAACGCUGUGUGUUUUCAACUUUCUACUUUUG
This 1267-nucleotide unclassified non-coding RNA is filed under the name Hevea brasiliensis (rubber tree). Lineage: Eukaryota; Viridiplantae; Streptophyta; Magnoliopsida; Malpighiales; Euphorbiaceae. The record is from RNAcentral.